UUUCAGAAGGUUCAUUUGGGGAUUAAAAUGUUGAUAAGGCUUCUAAUCCAUUCGGAUGACUUUGCUAUUAUCUGCAGUAUGUUUUUAAAUGCCGAUGCUCCAUAUAAUUGGUCGUUCAAUUAGCGUUAGAUUCCUCAACCAGUGCAGCUUCAUUCUUUCCUUGCUUGCAGGAAAUACAAUUCUUGAUUUCAACAAUGGGUGUGAAAUAGUAUAUGCAGAGCUAGAUGCGGCGAAAUCUGCAGACGCCAUGAGUGGCGGCGCAGUUCCUCGCGGUCUAUUACCAAUCGCCGCUGCUCGCAGUGGUUGCGCCACUGCUAUUUCGGUGUCCAGCGGCCUCACCCUCUUCUCGUCCAUCAUGGAGCUCACAGGAGGUUAUGUUUGAGAUCUUAAUAACUUUUUUUUUCAUGUGCUCACUGUCGCUUGAUUCCCUUCUAUCAGUUGUGGGAUGGGCUGAUUUGGAAGACCAAAUACGGUCUGGCUGUGAUCCAAACAUUCUUCUUUUGCAUUGGAUAUGAGUCAAGUCCUCUAAAUUUCUUUAUUUCCACCAGUGUGAUUGUACUGAUUUAUUGAUACCCUGUAGUUAGCAUAAAGGGGAGCUUGCUUAUCUGACAAAAGAAUUUUAUUAUAUUAAAGAGUUGUUGUAUUGGGAUUUUAGAAUAAAGUGCUUCACUAGAAGUCCAUAAGAAAAACUUUGGUACUUCUUCAUAGGAUUAACUCUGGUACUUCUUCAUAAGAUUUCGGUGAUAUAAUGAUAUAGUGCAAAAUUUCAUACUACUUAUUUGAUGAAUGCUUCUACAUAUUUCUAGGCUCUGCAUUUCUAUGUUUGAUUACUGUAUUUUCUCUCAAGCCCUAUUGGACUUGUAUCAUUUGUGUUAUAUGUCAUUGAACUGAAACUAGCAUUUUGGACAUCCAUUGGACAAUAUUGUAUACUCUGACUUCAAUUCCAUGAGAGUACUGAACUUGGCAUUCAGAGUCAUCUCAUGGAACUGAAGUUGGCAUUGAUCUCUAAAAAAAAUUAGUGUAAGGAACAUAAAGAACAUAAUUUGUAUAUUCCGUCUUGUUUUACCUUACUAGAGUACUGUAUUGAUCCACACAAUGGACAGACACAUAUUUAAGCAAUUAGCAAAAAAAGACAUUUAAGGCUUUGCUUGCAUGGUCGAAAUUACUGGUCGUGGAGGUCUUCAAUAGCUUCCAUAACUAUAUGAGAAAACUCUGAGAAUUUCUGUCUCAUUGUCUGGUCAUAUUCAGUUCAUGUUUUGAAGUUCUAUACUGCCUGGAUGCUAAGAGGAGUUUUGUAGCCGUAUUUACUUUUUAGACAUCACCCAGUGCCAGAGUUUAACUUUUUUUAUUCAACACUUUAUUUGUGGAAAUAUAUUUAACAGAGUUAAUAAUUGCAGAAAAUUGGUAACACUGCACUCAGUUAAGAUUAUGAGAUAUCUGUUGUAUGUAUUAUUUAUCAAUACUACCUCAAUUUCUUCCUGUCGUAUUUGCAUGUAUCUCAUGCUCUUACUGAUGUUUUAGCCUUCUAUAUGUUGUUUCGAAGUGAGCUGAGGACAAUGGCUAUGAGGAGGGUGAAGGCGCAGCUUCUACUUAUUUAUUGUUGCAAAAGGGUCACAAGAAGAAACACAUUAUGCAGCAGAGUAUUAAUGGUUUAGGACCAUAUGAAACUGACGUAUCUUAUGGUCUGCGAUGUUCACCUCCUCUAUUGCGGUGGAAGCCGGAAAUGCUAGAAAUGCAGUGAUGGAGAAGAGCUCACAGUGGUAUGUUCUUGCUCACUUGCUCUCACAAGCCCCUCACGUUGAUUAAUUUUUCUCCUGUGUGACUAAAUUCAUGUACUGAAUCCUUGAUUAUCUAAGGGUUUCAAUACUUACCCAACUCUGCUCUGCAUUGAUGGUUGCUCAAUGAUCGAUCGUUGCAUGGUACUUUGUCUUUUAUUCUGAUUGUCCUGAUUAGUAAAAUGGAGCAGGAGUUCCUUGGUUCCAACAGAAAAAAAAUCUAGAUCAAUUUCGGAAUUAAAUCCACUUGAACUUUUUGUGAAUAAACAUUCACCUUAUGAAAAAAAGAAUGCAAAUCACAUUUUAAUUUUAUGUUCCGAGUCUAAGCAAACAAACAAAUAUAUUGUUCUAGCAAUAGCCCAAAUGGAUUCGAUUAUUCUUUCCUAGCAAAGUAAGAUUAGCAAAAGGUAAAAGAAUGUUUCUGCUUCACGAGGAAAUUAAUUCAAAAUCUAACAGAAUCAGAUAUUGAUCUAUUGGAUCUAAAUAAAGUAUAUUAAGAUAUUUGUCUAUGAGAAAUUUUGGUUAGUCUAACUCUCCAUCCUUUUCACCAUGUAGAUUCAAUUUUUGGGGAAUUGCCCUUUUAAGAUUCACGAUGCAUGUGCACUGGGGAAACCAGGACCGUUGUUAGUGCAAUAAUUUAUGCCUGCAUAUCCAUCUAGGCAUGACCACUUGAUUGCAUGAAUUAUGUCCCUGUGAACUCCUUACUAUAUUACUAUGUGACUGUGCUAAGUUGAAUAGUGAAAUGAGAGUACAUCUUAAUGUGUUAUCUCAUUUCUGAAUGUUGGGUUUUCAUAAUCCAACUUUGUAAGAAUAAAUGCUACUGGUUUUUAUGAUUAAUAUGGAUUUCAGUUGUCUAAUGUUGCCCGUUUUCUAGCACCACAAUUUAAAUUUCAAUAUUUUGGUAUAUUUGAUGUAAUCAGUGACAACCUUUGUUAUGCUCUGACAUUCCUUGAUGGAGAAAGUUCUAAUCUUAGUGAAUUUAAAGCAUGCCUCCCAUCUGUAGUAUCAUCCAGAGUUUGUAAUAAUGCCAAGAAGAUGCCUAACAAUAUACAGUUGAAGAUAUCAACUCCAAUGAAUUACUGGCUAAAGCCCUUUGAGAAAUUCGGUCCAGUUUAUAACGACAUUUCCUUGUUAAUUUUUCUCUGCUGAAUUUGACUAGUAGGUCUCAGUACAAAAAUAGCUUAUGUGCUACUGCAAGGUGAUGCCAAAGCUGGCGAAUUUUCGGCCUUUUUUGUGGCUUUGCUCCUCUUCUAAAGAAUUUACCUUCAGAAGAGACUGGAGAAGACAUGGAAGCUACAGCCAAUUUGCAUUGGUAAUUGAUUACCAUUAAAUACCCAUAGCUCAACAUCAUCAAUAGUCAAUAAGAGUAAUUUGCUAUCAACAUUAUUUCAUCCAUGACUAUGAGAUAUAUAACUCCUGAAAAUAGCUGAAUUGGAUCGAUUAUGAGAACAUGAACCUCUUGCUUGUAAGCAUACAUAAUCUGGAGUAGCAUGGAUGGCAUGCCCUGUUAUUUCAUAUUUGUCGCAUGGUCUGACCUUUGAUAGAAGGAGUUGAUUUCUUUAUCCCGUUUGAGGUAUGUAGACCUGCCAAAUUUUCUAUGGAGUGCAGCGUCAGGUCAUUGCCAAGGUCUGUGUCUAUGUGGACGACCACUACUUCUUCUAUGACACCCACGAGAGGGACAUGGUCUACAUUGAGGACUACUCCAAUGGCAAGUCAAUGAUGGCGCCGACGAGCAGCUUCUCGAGUAGACGAUGAGGAAGGCGAGCAACAGAUCAGUGUAGCGCGGUGACAGUAAUAAGAGUUAUCUGUAAUGCAUUUUCCAUGCCAUCAGGCUGUAUCUUUGUAUGUCUUCUUUCUUGUGCUAUAAAUACAAACAUAUGCAAAAAAAA
This 3664-nucleotide ribosomal RNA is filed under the name Triticum aestivum (bread wheat). RNAcentral's name for it is "partial small subunit ribosomal RNA". The record is from RNAcentral. Lineage: Eukaryota; Viridiplantae; Streptophyta; Magnoliopsida; Poales; Poaceae.